RNAcentral lists this ribosomal RNA (46 nucleotides) under Aspergillus wentii. The record is from RNAcentral. Lineage: Eukaryota; Fungi; Ascomycota; Eurotiomycetes; Eurotiales; Aspergillaceae.
AUUGUAGUCCUUGUAGUCGAUAUUCUAUUCCUAGUGUCAGUCUAGC